This 164-nucleotide ribosomal RNA is filed under the name Fortunearia sinensis. RNAcentral describes it as "5.8S ribosomal RNA". It matches the Rfam family "5.8S ribosomal RNA". From Rfam's summary of the family: 5.8S ribosomal RNA (5.8S rRNA) is a component of the large subunit of the eukaryotic ribosome. It is transcribed by RNA polymerase I as part of the 45S precursor that also contains 18S and 28S rRNA. Lineage: Eukaryota; Viridiplantae; Streptophyta; Magnoliopsida; Saxifragales; Hamamelidaceae. The record is from RNAcentral.
UAAACGACUCUCGGCAACGGAUAUCUCGCGUCUCGCAUCGAUGAAGAACGUAGCGAAAUGCGAUACUUGGUGUGAAUUGCAGAAUCCCGUGAACCAUCGAGUCUUGAACGCAAGUUGCGCCCAAAGCCAUUAGGCCGAGGGCACGCCUGCCUGGGCGUCACGUA